UACGUAGGGUGCGAGCGUUAAUCGGAAUUACUGGGCGUAAAGCGUGCGCAGGCGGUUUUGUAAGCCAGAUGUGAAAUCCCCGGGCUUAACCUGGGAAUGGCAUUUGGGACUGCAAGGCUUGAGUGCGGCAGAGGAGACUGGAAUUCCUGGUGUAGCAGUGAAAAUGCGUAGAUAUCAGGAGGAACACCGAUGGCGAAGGCAGGUCUCUGGGCUGACACUGACGCUCAUGCACGAAAGCGUGGGGAGCAAACAGG
This 254-nucleotide ribosomal RNA is filed under the name uncultured bacterium. RNAcentral describes it as "partial 16S ribosomal RNA". It matches the Rfam family "Bacterial small subunit ribosomal RNA", at positions 524 to 776 of the family's 1533-position model. The record is from RNAcentral.